CGGAAUUAUUGGGCGUAAAGAGCUUGUAGGCGGUUCGUCGCGUCUGGUGUGAAAGCCCAUCGCUUAACGGUGGGUUUGCGCCGGGUACGGGCGGGCUAGAGUGCAGUAGGGGAGACUGGAAUUCUCGGUGUAACGGUGGAAUGUGUAGAUAUCGGGAAGAACACCAAUGGCGAAGGCAGGUCUCUGGGCUGUUACUGACGCUGAGAAGCGAAAGCGUGGGGAGCGAACAGGAUUAGAUACCCUGGUAGUCCACGCCGUAAACGGUGGACGCUGGAUGUGGGGCCCAUUCCACGGGUUCUGUGUCGGAGCUAACGCGUUAAGCGUCCCGCCUGGGGAGUACGGCCGCAAGGCUAAAACUCAAAGAAAUUGACGGGGGCCCGCACAAGCGGCGGAGCAUGCGGAUUAAUUCGAUGCAACGCGAAGAACCUUACCUGGGCUUGACAUGUGCCUGACGACUGCAGAGAUGUGGUUUCCUUUCGGGGCAGGUUCACAGGUGGUGCAUGGUCGUCGUCAGCUCGUGUCGUGAGAUGUUGGGUUAAGUCCCGCAACGAGCGCAACCCUCGCCCUGUGUUGCCAGCGGGUUAUGCCGGGAACUCACGGGGGACCGCCGGGGUUAACUCGGAGGAAGGUGGGGAUGACGUCAGAUCAUCAUGCCCCUUACGUCCAGGGCUUCACGCAUGCUACAAUGGCCAGUACAACGGGUUGCUUCAUGGUGACAUGGUGCUAAUCCCUUAAAACUGGUCUCAGUUCGGAUCGUAGUCUGCAACUCGACUACGUGAAGGCGGAGUCGCUAGUAAUCGCGAAUCAGCAACGUCGCGGUGAAUGCGUUCCCGGGCCUUGUACACACCGCCCGUCAAGUCAUGAAAGUGGGCAGCACCCGAAGCCGGUGGCCUAACCCUUUUGGGAUGGAGCCGUCUAAGGUGAGGCUCGUGAUUGGGAC
RNAcentral lists this ribosomal RNA (940 nucleotides) under Gardnerella vaginalis. RNAcentral's name for it is "bacterial SSU rRNA". It matches the Rfam family "Bacterial small subunit ribosomal RNA", at positions 546 to 1481 of the family's 1533-position model. Lineage: Bacteria; Bacillati; Actinomycetota; Actinomycetes; Bifidobacteriales; Bifidobacteriaceae. The record is from RNAcentral.